UUUCCCCCUUUGGGGGGGGCGGCAGGCGCGAACCAUUUCAGGCACGCAAGUGCGAUAGGGGGACUCAGAGUGUGAAGGCAUAGAGCCUUCACUUUUGUCACCGUAAGGUGGUCUACGAAUAAGGACUGGGCAAGACCGGUGCCAGCCGCCGCGGUAAUACCGGCAGCCCAAGUGAUGACCGAUAUUAUUGGGCCUAAAGCGUCCGUAGCUGGCCGGACAAGUCCGUUGGGAAAUCGGCCCGCUCAACGGGCGGGCGUCCAGCGGAAACUGCUCGGCUUGGGACCGGAAGACCCGAGGGGUACGUCCGGGGUAGGAGUGAAAUCCUGUAAUCCUGGACGGACCACCGAUGGCGAAACCACCUCAAGAGGACGGAUCCGACAGUGAGGGACGAAAGCUAGGGUCUCGAACCGGAUUAGAUACCCGGGUAGUCCUAGCUGUAACGAUGUCCGCUAGGUGUGGCCCAGGCUACGAGCCUGUGCUGUGCCGUAGGGAAGCCGAGAAGCGACCCGCCUGGGAAGUACGUCUGCAAGGAUGAAACUUAAGGAAUUGGCCGGGGAGCACUACAACCGGAGGAGCCUGCGGUUUAUUGGACUCACGCCGGAAUCUCACCGGUUCGACAGCAGAAUGACAUCAGGGUGAGACCUUACCGACCUCUGAAGUUUUUUUUUUUAAAAAAAAGG
Molecule: ribosomal RNA, 680 nt
Filed under: haloarchaeon J1.2
Lineage: Archaea; Methanobacteriati; Methanobacteriota; Halobacteria; Halobacteriales; Halobacteriaceae
Description: partial 16S ribosomal RNA
Rfam family: Archaeal small subunit ribosomal RNA
Source: RNAcentral